Molecule: transfer RNA, 72 nt
Filed under: Polyopes prolifer
Lineage: Eukaryota; Rhodophyta; Florideophyceae; Halymeniales; Halymeniaceae
Also listed under: 1 other name
Description: tRNA-Asn
Rfam family: tRNA
About the family: Transfer RNA (tRNA) molecules are approximately 80 nucleotides in length. Their secondary structure includes four short double-helical elements and three loops (D, anti-codon, and T loops). Further hydrogen bonds mediate the characteristic L-shaped molecular structure. tRNAs have two regions of fundamental functional importance: the anti-codon, which is responsible for specific mRNA codon recognition, and the 3' end, to which the tRNAs corresponding amino acid is attached (by aminoacyl-tRNA synthetases). tRNAs cope with the degeneracy of the genetic code in two manners: having more than one tRNA (with a specific anti-codon) for a particular amino acid; and 'wobble' base-pairing, i.e. permitting non-standard base-pairing at the 3rd anti-codon position.
Source: RNAcentral
UUCCUGAUAGCUCAAAGGUAGAGCGCAUGGCUGUUAACCAUUAGGUUGUAGGUUCGAAUCCUGCUCAGGAAG